This 427-nucleotide ribosomal RNA is filed under the name uncultured bacterium. Its description in RNAcentral is "partial 16S ribosomal RNA". It matches the Rfam family "Bacterial small subunit ribosomal RNA", at positions 355 to 774 of the family's 1533-position model. The record is from RNAcentral.
UGGGGAAUUUUGGACAAUGGGCGCAAGCCUGAUCCAGCAAUGCCGCGUGCAGGAUGAAGGCCUUCGGGUUGUAAACUGCUUUUGUACGGAACGAAACGUCGAGCUCUAAUACAGUUUGCUAAUGACGGUACCGUAAGAAUAAGCACCGGCUAACUACGUGCCAGCAGCCGCGGUAAUACGUAGGGUGCAAGCGUUAAUCGGAAUUACUGGGCGUAAAGCGUGCGCAGGCGGUUAUGUAAGACAGAUGUGAAAUCCCCGGGCUUAACCUGGGAACUGCAUUUGUGACUGCAUAGCUAGAGUACGGUAGAGGGGGAUGGAAUUCCGCGUGUAGCAGUGAAAUGCGUAGAUAUGCGGAGGAACACCGAUGGCGAAGGCAAUCCCCUGGACCUGUACUGACGCUCAUGCACGAAAGCGUGGGGAGCAAACA